UACGAAGGGUGCUAGCGUUGUUCGGAAUUACUGGGCGUAAAGCGCGCGUAGGCGGCUAUACAAGUCAGGGGUGAAAUCCCGGAGCUUAACUCCGGAACUGCCUUUGAAACUGUAUAGCUGGAGUGUGUGAGGGGAUAGCGGAAUUCCUAAUGUAGAGGUGAAAUUCGUAGAUAUUAGGAGGAACACCGGUGGCGAAGGCGGCUAUCUGGCACACAACUGACGCUGAGGCGCGAAAGCGUGGGGAUCAAACAGG
RNAcentral lists this ribosomal RNA (253 nucleotides) under uncultured bacterium. Its description in RNAcentral is "partial 16S ribosomal RNA". It matches the Rfam family "Bacterial small subunit ribosomal RNA", at positions 524 to 776 of the family's 1533-position model. The record is from RNAcentral.